UUCCUCCUGUGGUUCAUACUCAUGGUGAUUGAGUUUUCAUGCUACGGUGUGAAAUGUGCCUCCUCAAACCUUGCUACCACAUCAGCACAUUACCUGGCUGAUG
Macaca fascicularis (crab-eating macaque) is the source of this 103-nucleotide small nucleolar RNA. NCBI's taxonomy places the organism in Eukaryota, Metazoa, Chordata, Mammalia, Primates, Cercopithecidae. The record is from Ensembl.